AGGGAAGGUGUGAGCUGCCGCCGAGGGUCCCAGGCGGAACGCGGGAAGGGAGCAGGUUUAUUUAACAAUGUGAAGUAGUCCUGGGAAGUUGUACUUUGAGCAAGGUCCGCAAGCAGUAUUCCUGCACUUCUCCAGUCAUGCCCCAGCGCCAGGUCGGAAGCUGUCCACAUGCGGGGAUGGAGCCUGGCGUCCUGGGCCCACAAGGACAGGGCCCUGAAUAUGGACUUAGCAGAACAAAGUUGGGAAGGCAACUGCACUCACCCCUUGUGCCUCCUGUGGUACCUGCCCUUCACGGUUCCUGGUGGGGACACUCAGGCACCAGCUUCAUGGCUGGACUCAGAUGACACAACGCCAGGAAAAAAAGUAAAAGCCCCAUUACCCUUUCCAAUGCCUAGAUAAAAUAGAUGUCUAAUAAAAACCUGCUAAUAAUCA
This is a long non-coding RNA of Homo sapiens (human), 432 nucleotides long. NCBI's taxonomy places the organism in Eukaryota, Metazoa, Chordata, Mammalia, Primates, Hominidae. The record is from Ensembl.